This 252-nucleotide ribosomal RNA is filed under the name uncultured bacterium. RNAcentral describes it as "partial 16S ribosomal RNA". It matches the Rfam family "Bacterial small subunit ribosomal RNA", at positions 524 to 776 of the family's 1533-position model. The record is from RNAcentral.
UACGAAGGAGGCUAGCGUUGUUCGGAAUUACUGGGCGUAAAGCGUGCGUAGGUGGUUUGUUAAGUCUGAUGUGAAAGCCCUGGGCUCAACCUGGGAAUUGCAUUGGAUACUGGCAGGCUAGAGUGCGGUAGAGGGUAGUGGAAUUCCCGGUGUAGCAGUGAAAUGCGUAGAUAGUCGGAAGGAACACCUGUGGCGAAAGCGGCUCACUGGACCAUUCUGACGCUGAGGCACGAAAGCUAGGGAGCAAACAGG